GGGUCAGUAGGUUGGUCGUGCCACCGGUACGUACUGGUCUCACUGAUUCCUCCUUCCUGAAGAACCGUAAUGCCAUUAAUUUGGUGUUGCGGGGAAACAGGACUGUUACUUUGAAAAAAUUAGAGUGUUUAAAGCAAGCUAACGCUUGAAUACAUUAGCAUGGGAUAAUGAAAUAGGACGAUCGAUCCUAUUUUGCUGGUUUCUAAGAUCGACGUA
RNAcentral lists this ribosomal RNA (216 nucleotides) under Glomeromycotina sp. RNAcentral's name for it is "partial small subunit ribosomal RNA". The stretch from base 44 to 216 matches the Rfam family "Eukaryotic small subunit ribosomal RNA", at positions 690 to 864 of the family's 1831-position model. Lineage: Eukaryota; Fungi; Glomeromycota. The record is from RNAcentral.